RNAcentral lists this ribosomal RNA (475 nucleotides) under uncultured bacterium. Its description in RNAcentral is "bacterial SSU rRNA". It matches the Rfam family "Bacterial small subunit ribosomal RNA", at positions 28 to 504 of the family's 1533-position model. The record is from RNAcentral.
GAUGAACGCUAGCGGCAGGCCUAACACAUGCAAGUCGAGGGGUAGAAGUCUUCGGACUUUGAGACCGGCGCACGGGUGCGUAACGCGUAUGCAAUCUGCCUUACACUAAGGGAUAGCCCAGAGAAAUUUGGAUUAAUACCUUAUAGUAUAUGACAGGGACAUCCCUAACAUAUUAAAGUUCCAACGGUGUAAGAUGAGCAUGCGUCCCAUUAGCUAGUUGGUGUGGUAACGGCACACCAAGGCAAUGAUGGGUAGGGGUCCUGAGAGGGAGAUCCCCCACACUGGUACUGAGACACGGACCAGACUCCUACGGGAGGCAGCAGUGAGGAAUAUUGGUCAAUGGGCGCAAGCCUGAACCAGCCAUGCCGCGUGCAGGAUGACGCAUCUAUGGUGUGUAAACUGCUUUUGUACGGGAAGAAACCCUGCCACGUGUGGCAGAUUGACGGUACCGUAAGAAUAAGGAUCGGCUAACUCC